RNAcentral lists this ribosomal RNA (722 nucleotides) under uncultured endophytic bacterium. RNAcentral describes it as "bacterial SSU rRNA". It matches the Rfam family "Bacterial small subunit ribosomal RNA", at positions 335 to 1073 of the family's 1533-position model. The record is from RNAcentral.
ACUCCUACGGGUGGCAGCAGCAGGGAAUCUUGCGCAAUGGGCGAAAGCCUGACGCAGCGACACCGCGUGAGGGAAGAAUGCUUUCGGGUUGUAAACCUCUUUUGUUAGGGAAGAGAAGGGACUGUACCUGACGAAUAAGCCCCGGCUAACUACGUGCCAGCAGCCGCGGUAAUACGUAGGGGGCGAGCGUUGUCCGGAUUUAUUGGGCGUAAAGGGCGAGUAGGCGGCACGUCAAGUCCCAUGUGAAAUCUCCCGGCUUAACCGGGAGGGGUCAUGGGAAACUGGCGGGCUUGAGGACAGCAGAGGAGGGCGGAAUUCCCGGAGUAGUGGUGAAAUGCGUAGAUACCGGGAGGAACACCAGUGGCGAAAGCGGCUCUCUGGGCUGCCCCUGACGCUGAGGCGCGAAAGCAUGGGGAGCAAACCGGAUUAGAUACCCGGGUAGUCCAUGCCCUAAACGAUGAAUACUAGGCCUGGGGGGUAUCGACCCCCUCUGGGUCGUAGCUAACGCGAUAAGUAUUCCGCCUGGGGAGUACGGCCGCAAGGCUAAAACUCAAAGGAAUUGACGGGGGCCCGCACAAGCAGCGGAGCGUGUGGUUUAAUUCGAUGCUAAGCGAAGAACCUUACCAGGGCUUGACAUCGCAGUGACCGCUAUAGAAAUAUAGUUUUCCUUCGGGACACUAUGACAGGUGCUGCAUGGCUGUCGUCAGCUCGUGUCGUGAGAU